Molecule: transfer RNA, 86 nt
Filed under: Deltaproteobacteria bacterium
Lineage: Bacteria; Pseudomonadati; Myxococcota; Myxococcia
Description: tRNA-Leu
Rfam family: tRNA
About the family: Transfer RNA (tRNA) molecules are approximately 80 nucleotides in length. Their secondary structure includes four short double-helical elements and three loops (D, anti-codon, and T loops). Further hydrogen bonds mediate the characteristic L-shaped molecular structure. tRNAs have two regions of fundamental functional importance: the anti-codon, which is responsible for specific mRNA codon recognition, and the 3' end, to which the tRNAs corresponding amino acid is attached (by aminoacyl-tRNA synthetases). tRNAs cope with the degeneracy of the genetic code in two manners: having more than one tRNA (with a specific anti-codon) for a particular amino acid; and 'wobble' base-pairing, i.e. permitting non-standard base-pairing at the 3rd anti-codon position.
Source: RNAcentral
GCGCGAGUGGCGGAAUUGGUAGACGCGCUAGGUUGAGGGCCUAGUGUCUAAUAAACGUGGGGGUUCGAGUCCCCCCUCGCGCACCA